GUGCCAGCAGCCGCGGUAAUACGUAGGGUGCGAGCGUUAAUCGGAAUUACUGGGCGUAAAGGGUGCGCAGGCGGUCCUGCAAGUCAAGUGUGAAAGCCCCGGGCUUAACCUGGGAAUGGCGCUUGAAACUACGGGACUGGAGUAUGGCAGAGGGAGGUGGAAUUCCACGUGUAGCGGUGAAAUGCGUAGAGAUGUGGAGGAACACCGAUGGCGAAGGCAGCCUCCUGGGCCAAUACUGACGCUCAUGCACGAAAGCGUGGGGAGCAAACAGGAUUAGAUACCCUGGUAGUCC
This 292-nucleotide ribosomal RNA is filed under the name uncultured bacterium. Its description in RNAcentral is "partial 16S ribosomal RNA". It matches the Rfam family "Bacterial small subunit ribosomal RNA", at positions 505 to 796 of the family's 1533-position model. The record is from RNAcentral.